Molecule: transfer RNA, 73 nt
Filed under: Fuerstiella marisgermanici
Lineage: Bacteria; Pseudomonadati; Planctomycetota; Planctomycetia; Planctomycetales; Planctomycetaceae
Also listed under: 1 other name
Description: Fuerstia marisgermanicae tRNA
Rfam family: tRNA
About the family: Transfer RNA (tRNA) molecules are approximately 80 nucleotides in length. Their secondary structure includes four short double-helical elements and three loops (D, anti-codon, and T loops).
Source: Rfam by way of RNAcentral
GGGCGGAUAGCUCAGUUGGUAGAGCACAGGACUGAAAAUCCUGGUGUCGGGGGUUCGAAUCCCCCUCCGCCCA